UCUGGGUCGGGGUUUCGUACGUAGCAGAG
RNAcentral lists this non-coding RNA (29 nucleotides) under Gallus gallus (chicken). Lineage: Eukaryota; Metazoa; Chordata; Aves; Galliformes; Phasianidae. The record is from RNAcentral. RNAcentral also lists the same sequence under 7 other names.